ACAGUAAAGAGGGAAAGAAGGGAGACUAGGUGGAGAGGGUGUAGGAAAAGGCUCGGGGAAAAGGCAGCAAGAUGUAAGAUGGUGCAAACCUUGGCUGCUGAUUAGAGGAUCCUUCAGCUGAAACCUGGAGUAUAGGGUGGGUCUGGGUUCCCCUCCCAGACACUGGGGAAAUGGCAUAGUUUGGAUAGUGAAGGGAAGACUGCCAUCUUGGAGGCAGAGACUUUGAUAUCUGGGAAGGGGGGAAAACACACAGUGACCUGGCCAGAUCACCAAGCCAUGAAGACAAAGCACCCUGAGUCACAGAGAGAGAGAGAGUGGCAGCUGGGUGUGCAUUGAGCUGUAGAAGGGUGUGUUGGACCUGGAAAGAGUGAAUCCCCAGACGCAGCCACAAGGAAGCACCCCAAUGAAACUGAGAGAUGCUAGAGAAGUGAAAAAGCUAUGGGUUGACUUGGCACAAGCUAAACAGGAAGCUUCCAUCACUGUUCUGGAAUUAAAGGAGAAGAUAAAGACUCUCUGUGAUGGAAAGUUAAACCCCUAGAGAGGUCAACAAUAUUGAAGGCCAGUGCCAGAGCCAAGAAUAACACAGGAGUGAAGAUUCCCAGUCUAACCACUCAAUUACUCUCUUUUAUGUUCACCCCAUGGACUUUGGAAGAAAUCUCCUGCAUUCUCUCUUUUAUUAUCUGUUCCUUUCAAGAAGUACUGGAGACCAUCAAGAAAUUUAUAGACUAAGACAAAGGUAUGUGAUGUAAACCAAGCUAUGUGGAUUAAGCUUAAAAUAUGUUUAUGUAUUAAACACAAACUAUGUGGACUAAACUCAAACUAUGUUUAGGUUCACCUCUAGCAAAGUCCUCUGAUGGACAGGAAUUAAGAAAGGACCAGUAUCCCCAUCUUUUGAAUCCACCAUGGUCUCUCUUGCUCUCUCUCUACUACUACUAAAAUUAGACAUUUUUAAAUCAGCAGGUCCAGCUAGCUUGCAUCCAAGAGUUUUAAAAGACUUGGCUGAGGAGAUCGCUGGACCAUUAAUAUUGCUUUUUCAAUAAGUCUUGGAGCAC
Trachemys scripta elegans is the source of this 1052-nucleotide long non-coding RNA. RefSeq lists it as uncharacterized. NCBI's taxonomy places the organism in Eukaryota, Metazoa, Chordata, Testudines, Emydidae. The transcript is spliced from 4 exons. The record is from RefSeq and is a predicted model, not a curated record.